GACGAACGCUGGCGGCGUGCUUAACACAUGCAAGUCGAACGGUGAAGCGCCUUCCUUUCUGGUGGGUGUGGAGGAGUGGAGAAGUGGUUAGCACCAGGUUAGUCACCUUCUCCCUUUUUCUGGACAACCGCAUGAAAGUGUGACUACUACGGGAUAUUCUGGAUCUGUCGCAUGAUUGGUCUGAGACGGUUUUUGUGUCGGUUGUGGAUGGGCCCGCGCCCUAUCAGCUUGUUGGUGAGGUAACGGCCUACCAAGGCGGUGAUGCGUAGCCGGCCUGAGAGGGUCGACGGUCACACAGGGGAUGAGACACGGACACGACUCCUACGGGAAGCAGUAGGGGAGCAUACUGCACAGGGGGCGGAAGGCUGGUGCAGCGACGCGGCGUGGGUGAUGGAGGUCUGCGGGUUGUGAACCUCUUUCGCGAGUGAAGCAGUCUGGCAUCGUUUGUGGAUGGGUUGACGGUAGCUGGAGAAGAAGCGCCGGCUAACUACGUG
RNAcentral lists this ribosomal RNA (494 nucleotides) under uncultured bacterium. Its description in RNAcentral is "partial 16S ribosomal RNA". It matches the Rfam family "Bacterial small subunit ribosomal RNA", at positions 28 to 507 of the family's 1533-position model. The record is from RNAcentral.